This 274-nucleotide ribosomal RNA is filed under the name uncultured bacterium. RNAcentral's name for it is "partial 16S ribosomal RNA". It matches the Rfam family "Archaeal small subunit ribosomal RNA", at positions 473 to 747 of the family's 1478-position model. The record is from RNAcentral.
AAACCAGCACCUCAAGUGGUCAGGAUGAUUAUUGGGCCUAAAGCAUCCGUAGCCUGCUUUGUCAGUUUUCGGUUAAAUCCAUACGCUCAACGUAUGGGCUGCCGGAAAUACUGCAUAGCUAGGGAGUGGGAGAGGUAGACGGUACUCGGGAGGAAGGGGUAAAAUCCUUUGAUCUCUCGAUGACCACCUGUGGCGAAGGCGGUCUACCAGAACACGUCCGACGGUGAGGGAUGAAAGCUGGGGGAGCAAACCGGAUUAGAAACCCCGGUAGUCC